This 402-nucleotide unclassified non-coding RNA is filed under the name soil metagenome. RNAcentral's name for it is "partial contains 5.8S ribosomal RNA, internal transcribed spacer 2, and large subunit ribosomal RNA". The stretch from base 1 to 121 matches the Rfam family "5.8S ribosomal RNA", at positions 35 to 154 of the family's 154-position model. The record is from RNAcentral.
GAUGAAGAACGUAGCGAAAUGCGAUAAGUAAUGUGAAUUGCAGAAUUCAGUGAAUCAUCGAAUCUUUGAACGCACCUUGCGCCCUUUGGCUAUUCCGAAGGGCAUGCCUGUUUGAGUAUCGUGAACACCUCAACUCUCAUGGUUUGCCAUGAUGAGCUUGGACUUUGGGGGUUUUGCUGGCCUUUGGUCGGCUCCUCUCAAACGGAUCAGCUUUCCAGUGUUUGGUGGCGUCACGGGUGUGAUAACUAUCUACGCCUGUGGUUUUCUGCCAGAUAACCUUCAGCGAUGGAGGUUCGCUGGGGCUCAUAAAUGUCUCUCUUCAGUGGAGACAGCUUUUUGGACGUUUGAUAUCAAAUCAGGUAGGACUACCCGCUGAACUUAAGCAUAUCAAUAAGCGGAGGA